UAUUGGUCACUCAAUUUCUUUUAUUAUUGUUCCAAUAACAUUGUUUUUUCUUGUUCCAUUUUCAAAUGACACUUCACCUUCUUCUGUUCUAAACUCCAUAUCUUGCAAUUCUGUAAUAGUUCUUACAUUUGGCCUUCCAAGAGACAUUGAGUGUGUUCUUUUUUUUUUUUGUCCAAGCUUCCUAUUUCUUCUCAAAUUUAUGCUCCAAUAGCAACUUGGAUUCCACCUUUUCUUAAAUAAUUCAAUCUUAUUUCUUAAUUUGGUAGCUUUGUUCCAAUAUUUCUUUCCUACUUGCUUUUAAUUGUUGCCUUAAAU
This 315-nucleotide long non-coding RNA is filed under the name Physcomitrium patens. Its description in RNAcentral is "long non-coding RNA (PPAT_LNC008085)". Lineage: Eukaryota; Viridiplantae; Streptophyta; Bryopsida; Funariales; Funariaceae. The record is from RNAcentral.